RNAcentral lists this small nuclear RNA (228 nucleotides) under Staphylococcus aureus. Its description in RNAcentral is "SaV17". The record is from RNAcentral. Lineage: Bacteria; Bacillati; Bacillota; Bacilli; Caryophanales; Staphylococcaceae.
AAAUGAUGACAUUUAAUAAAGUAAGUACUUACUCUAUUUUUAGCUGCAGCCAUACCAAUGCCUGUAGCUAAAUGUGUUUUACCAACGCCACUUGAGCCUAAAAAGACAAUGUUUUGAUAUUUUUCUAUAAAACGCAAAUCUGUAAAAUCCCAAAUUUCUUGUUGAUUGAUGCUCGGUUGAAAAUUAAAGUCAAAAUCUGAUAUUUCUUUUUUAAACGGAAAUGCCGCC